RNAcentral lists this ribosomal RNA (530 nucleotides) under uncultured Pelagibacterales bacterium. RNAcentral describes it as "bacterial SSU rRNA". It matches the Rfam family "Bacterial small subunit ribosomal RNA", at positions 114 to 679 of the family's 1533-position model. Lineage: Bacteria; Pseudomonadati; Pseudomonadota; Alphaproteobacteria; Candidatus Pelagibacterales. The record is from RNAcentral.
AAUGUGGGUAUCUGCCCUUUGGUUUGGAAUAACACGAGGAAACUUGUGCUAAUACCGGAUAAGCCUUCACAGGGAAAGCUUUAGCGCCAAAGGAUGAGCUCGCACUUGAUUAGCUAGUUGGUAGGGUAAUGGCCUACCAAGGCAACGAUCAAUAGCUGUUCUUAGAGGAAGACCAGCCACAUUGGGACUGAGACACGGCCCAAACUCCUACGGGAGGCAGCAGUGGGGAAUCUUGCACAAUGGGGGAAACCCUGAUGCAGCGAUGCCGCGUGAGUGAAGAAGGCCUUUGGGUUGUAAAGCUCUUUCGUCGGGGAAGAAAAUGACUGUACCCGAAUAAGAAGGUCCGGCUAACUUCGUGCCAGCAGCCGCGGUAAUACGAAGGGACCUAGCGUAGUUCGGAAUUACUGGGCUUAAAGAGCUCGUAGGUGGUUAAGAAAGUUGGUGGUGAAAUCCCAAGGCUUAACCUUGGAACUGCCAUCAAAACUUUUUGACUAGAGUAUGAUAGAGGUAAGUGGAAUUUCUAGUGUAGA